Molecule: ribosomal RNA, 468 nt
Filed under: uncultured bacterium
Lineage: Bacteria
Description: partial 16S ribosomal RNA
Rfam family: Bacterial small subunit ribosomal RNA
Source: RNAcentral
GACGAACGCUGGCGGCGUGCUUAACACAUGCAAGUCGAACGGAAAGGCCCUGCUUUUUUGGUGUGCUCGAUUGGCGAACGGGUGAGUAACACGUGUGUAACCUGCCCUUCACUUUCGUAUAACUUCAGGAAACUGGGGCUAAUACCGUAUAGCAGCUCCUGCUGCAUUGUGGGGGUUGGAACGUUUCGGCGGUUGGGGAUGGACUCGCGGCUUAUCAGCUUGUUGGUGGGGUAGUGGCUUACCAAGGCUUUGACGGGUAGCCGGCCUGAGAGGGUGACCGGCCACAAUGGGACUGAGAGACGGCCCAGACGCCUACGGGAGGCAGCAGUGGGGAAUAUUGCACAAUGGGCGGAAGCCUGAUGCAGCAACGCCGCGGGCGGGAUGACGGCCUUCGGGUUGUAAACCGCUUUCGCCUGUGACGAAGCGUGAGUGACGGUAAUGGGUAAAGAAGCACCGGCUAACUACGUG